Molecule: ribosomal RNA, 482 nt
Filed under: uncultured bacterium
Lineage: Bacteria
Description: partial 16S ribosomal RNA
Rfam family: Bacterial small subunit ribosomal RNA
Source: RNAcentral
AUUGAACGCUGGCGGCAUGCCUUACACAUGCAAGUCGAACGGUAACGGGCCUUCGGGUGCCGACGAGUGGCGAACGGGUGAGUAAUACAUCGGAACGUGCCCGAUCGUGGGGGAUAACGAGGCGAAAGCUUUGCUAAUACCGCAUACGAUCUACGGAUGAAAGCAGGGGACCGCAAGGCCUUGCGCGGACGGAGCGGCCGAUGGCAGAUUAGGUAGUUGGUGGGAUAAAAGCUUACCAAGCCGACGAUCUGUAGCUGGUCUGAGAGGAUGAUCAGCCACACUGGGACUGAGACACGGCCCAGACUCCUACGGGAGGCAGCAGUGGGGAAUUUUGGACAAUGGGCGCAAGCCUGAUCCAGCCACGCCGCGUGCAGGAUGAAGGCCUUCGGGUUGUAAACUGCUUUUGUACGGAACGAAAAGCCUUCUUUUAAUACAGGAGGGUCAUGACGGUACCGUAAGAAUAAGCACCGGCUAACUACGUG